Molecule: unclassified non-coding RNA, 221 nt
Filed under: Hevea brasiliensis (rubber tree)
Lineage: Eukaryota; Viridiplantae; Streptophyta; Magnoliopsida; Malpighiales; Euphorbiaceae
Source: RNAcentral
ACUGAAUUCACAGUGUCCCCUUAAGGAAAUUAUUCCCCUCGGGAUACCAAAAACUCUACUGUCAGCGAAUCAAUCCACAGCAGGAAAGUACACGAAGAAAAAAUGUGUUUAUUAAUAAGUAGGAAUAUCAGAAAAUUCGUUAGUAAAUAUUCUGAAGACUGAAUGGUAUUUAUAAACAAGAAUAAUAUAUUCUGAAAGGCAACCCUUUCAGAAUUGACACA